CGGAGGCCGCCCGCAAGUCUGGGGCCAUUCCGAGUCCGGCGGACGAACUUCGCCCACGCCCCCCACCAAGGCUAUAGCCCACCCGUUUUUUGGCCAUUUUUCCGCUGGGGGGUCUUGGCACUUCCACCUUCGGGGGCUAAUUUUUGGGCGCGGCUGCGCCCGUGGCCUAUUUUUAGCACACGAGGGCCACCCACAAAGUCUGGGGCCAUUCCGAGUCCGGCGGACGAACUUCGCCCACGCCCCCCACCAAGGCUAUAGCCCACCCGUUUUUUGGCCAUUUUUCCGCUGGGGGGUCGUGGCGCCCCGACCUUCGGGGGCUAAUUUUUGGGCGCGGCUGUGCCCGUGGCCUAUUUUUGGCACACGGAGGCCGCCCGCAAAGUCUGGGGCCAGUUCGAGUCCGGCGGACGAACUUCGCCCACGCCCCCCACCAAGGCUAUAGCCCACCCGUUUUUUGGCCAUUUUUCCGCUGGGGGGUCUUGGCACCCCGACCUUCGGGGGUUGAUUUUUGGGCUCGGCUUUGCCCGUGGCCUAUUUUUGGCACACGGAGGCCGCCCGCAAAGUCUGAGGCCAUUCCGAGUCCGGCGGACGAACUUCGCCCCCGCCCCCCACCAAGGCUAUAGCCCACCCGUUUUUUGGCCAUUUUUCCGCUGGGGGGUCUUGGCGCCCCGACCUUCGGGGGCUAAUUUUUGGGCGCGGCUGUGCCCGUGGCCUAUUUUUGGCACACGGAGGCCGCCCGCAAAGUCUGGGGCCAUUCCGAGUCCGGCGGACGAACUUCGCCCACGCCCCCCACCAAGGCUAUAGCCCACCCGUUUUUUGGCCAUUUUUCCGCUGGGGGGUCUUGGCACCUCCACCUUUCGGGGCUAAUUUUUGGGCGCGGCUGUGCCCGUGGCCUAUUUUGGCACACGAGGGCCACCCGCAAAGCCUGGGGCCAUUCCGAGUCCGGCGGACGAACUUCGCCCACGCCCCCCACCAAGGCUAUAGCCCACCUGUUUUUUGGCCAUUUUUCCGCUGGGGGGUCUUGGCAGCCCGACCUUCGGGGGCUAAUUUUUGGGCGCGGCUGUGCCCGUGGCCUAUUUUUGGCACACGGAGGCCGCCCGCAAAGUCUGGGGCCAUUCCGAGUCCGGCGGACGAACUUCGCCCCGCCCCCCACCAAGGCUAUAGCCCACCCGUUAUUUGGCCAUUUUUCCGCUGGGGGGUCUUGGCACCUCCAUCUUCGGGGGCUAAUUUUUGGGCGCGGCUGUGCCCGUGGCCUAUUUUUGGCACACGAGGGCCGCCCGCAAAGUCUGGGGCCAUUCCGAGUCCGGCGGACGAACUUCGCCCACGCCCCCCACCAAGGCUAUAGCCCACCCGUUUUUUGGCCAUUUUUCCGCUGGGGGGUCUUGGCAGCCCGACCUUCGGGGGCUGAUUUUUGGGCGCGGCUGUGCCCGUGGCCUAUUUUUGGCGCACGGAGGCCGCCCGUAAAGUCUGGGGCCAUUGCGAGUCCGGCGGACGAACUUCGCCCACGCCCCCCACCAAGGCUAUAGCCCACCCGUUUUUUGGCCAUUUUUCCGCUGGGGGGUCUUGGCACCCCGACCUUCGGGGGCUGAUUUUUGGGCGCGGCUGUGCCCGUGGCCUAUUAUUGGCACACGGAGGCCGCCCGCAAAGUCUGGGGCCAGUUCGAGUCCGGCGGACGAACUUCGCCCACGCCCCCCACCAAGGCUAUAGCCCACCCGUUUUUUGGCCAUUUUUCCGCUGGGGGGUCUUGGCACCCCGACCUUCGGGGGCUGAUUUUUGGGCGCGGCUGUGCCCGUGGCCUAUUUUUGGCACACGGAGGCCGCCCGCAAAGUCUGGGGCCAUUACGAGUCCGGCGGACGAACUUCGCCCACACCCCCCACCAAGGCUAUAGCCCACCCGUUUUUUGGCCAUUUUUCCGCUGGGGGGUCUUGGCACCCCGACCUUCGGGGGCUGAUUUUUGGGCGCGGCUGUGCCCGUGGCCUAUUUUUGGCACACGGAGGCCGCCCGCAAAGUCUGGGGCCAUUCCGAGUCCGGCGGACGAACUUCGCCCACGCCCCCCACCAAGGGUAUAGCCCACCCGUUUUUUGGCCAUUUUUCCGCUGGGGGGUCUUGGCACCCCGACCUUCGGGGGUUGAUUUUUGGGCGCGGCUUUGCCCGUGGCCUAUUUUUGGCACACGGAGGCCGCCCGCAAAGUCUAAGGCCAUUCCGAGUCCGGCGGACGAACUUCGCCCACGCCCCCCACCAAGGCUAUAGCCCACCCGUUUUUUGGCCAUUUUUCCGCUGGGGGGUCUUGGCGCCCCGACCUUCGGGGGCUAAUUUUUGGGCGCGGCUGUGCCCGUGGCCUAUUUUUGGCACACGGAGGCCGCCCGCAAAGUCUGGGGCCAUUCCGAGUCCGGCGGACGAACUUCGCCCACGCCCCCCACCAAGGCUAUAGCCCACCCGUUUUUUGGCCAUUUUUCCGCUGGGGGGUCCUGGCACCUCCACCUUCGGGGGCUAAUUUUUGGGCGCGGCUGUGCCCGUGGCCUAUUUUUGGCACACGAGGGCCACCCGCAAAGCCUGGGGCCAUUCCGAGUCCGGCGGACGAACUUCGCCCACGCCCCCCACCAAGGCUAUAGCCCACCCGUUUUUUGGCCAUUUUUCCGCUGGGGGGUCUUGGCAGCCCGACCUUCGGGGGCUAAUUUUUGGGCGCGGCUGUGCCCGUGGCCUAUUUUUGGCACACGGAGGCCGCCCGCAAAGUCUGGGGCCAUUCCGAGUCCGGCGGACGAACUUCGCCCCGCCCCCCACCAAAGCUAUAGCCCACCCGUUUUUUGGCCAUUUUCCGCUGGGGGGUCUGGGCACCUCCAUCUUCGGGGGCUAAUUUUUGGGCGCGGCUGUGCCCGUGGCCUAUUUUUGGCACACGAGGGCCGCCCGCAAAGUCUGGGGCCAUUCCGAGUCCGGCGGACGAACUUCGCCCACGCCCCCGCCAAGGCUAUAGCCCACCCGUUUUUUGGCAAUUUUUCCGCUGGGGGGUCUUGGCAGCCCGACCUUCGGGGGCUAAAUUUUGGGCACGG
This 3044-nucleotide long non-coding RNA is filed under the name Citrus x clementina. RNAcentral's name for it is "Citrus clementina (C. clementina) long non-coding RNA (CCLE_LNC002205)". Lineage: Eukaryota; Viridiplantae; Streptophyta; Magnoliopsida; Sapindales; Rutaceae. The record is from RNAcentral.